RNAcentral lists this ribosomal RNA (387 nucleotides) under uncultured bacterium. Its description in RNAcentral is "bacterial SSU rRNA". It matches the Rfam family "Bacterial small subunit ribosomal RNA", at positions 29 to 417 of the family's 1533-position model. The record is from RNAcentral.
AUUGAACGCUGGCGGAAUGCUUUACACAUGCAAGUCGAGCGGCAGCGCGGGGGCAACCCUGGCGGCGAGCGGCGAACGGGUGAGUAACACAUCGGAACGUGUCCUUGAGUGGGGGAUAGCUCGGCGAAAGCCGGAUUAAUACCGCAUAAGCUCUGAGGAGGAAAGCGGGGGAUUCGCAAGGACCUCGCGCUGUUGGAGCGGCCGAUGUCGGAUUAGCUAGUGGUGGGGUAAAGGCUCACCAAGGCGACGAUCCGUAGCUGGUCUGAGAGGAUGAUCAGCCACACUGGAACUGAGACACGGUCCAGACUCCUACGGGAGGCAGCAGUGGGGAAUUUUGGACAAUGGGGCAACCCUGAUCCAGCCAUUCCGCGUGAGCGAAGAAGGCCU